AUUGGACAAUGGGCGCAAGCCUGAUCCAGCCAUGCCGCGUGUGUGAAGAAGGCCUUAUGGUUGUAAAGCACUUUAAGCGAGGAGGAGGCUACUUUAGAUAAUACCUAGAGAUAGUGGACGUUACUCGCAGAAUAAGCACCGGCUAACUCUGUGCCGGCAGCCGCGGUAAUACAGAGGGUGCAAGCGUUAAUCGGAUUUACUGGGCGUAAAGCGCGCGUAGGCGGCUAAUUAAGUCAAAUGUGAAAUCCCCGAGCUUAACUUGGGAAUUGCAUUCGAUACUGGUUAGCUAGAGUGUGGGAGAGGAUGGUAGAAUUCCAGGUGUAGCGGUGAAAUGCGUAGAGAUCUGGAGGAAUACCGAUGGCGAAGGCAGCCAUCUGGCCUAACACUGACGCUGAGGUGCGAAAGCAUGGGGAGCAAACAGGAUUAGAUACCCUG
Molecule: ribosomal RNA, 435 nt
Filed under: Acinetobacter sp.
Lineage: Bacteria; Pseudomonadati; Pseudomonadota; Gammaproteobacteria; Moraxellales; Moraxellaceae
Description: bacterial SSU rRNA
Rfam family: Bacterial small subunit ribosomal RNA
Source: RNAcentral